CGAAUUCGCCCUUCCUACGGGAGGCAGCAGUGGGGAAUUUUACGCAAUGGGGGAAACCCUGACGUAGCGACUCCGCGUGAGCGAAGAAGCCCUCUGGGGUGUAAAGCUCUGUCAGCAGGGACGAAAAAAAUGACGGUGCCUGCAGAGGAAGCAUCGGCUAACUACGUGCCAGCAGCCGCGGUAAGACGUAGGAUGCAAGCGUUGUCCGGAUUCAUUGGGCGUAAAGAGUUCGUAGGCGGUUUGUUAAGUCUGAUGUUAAAGAUCAGGGCCCAACCCUGAGAGUGCAUUGGAUACUGGCAGACUGGAGUGCAGUAGAGGCAAGUGGAAUUCCCAGUGUAGCGGUGAAAUGCGUAGAUAUUGGGAAGAACACCGGUGGCGCAGGCGACUUGCUGGGCUGUAACUGACGCUGAGGAACGAAAGCUAGGGGAGCAAAUGGGAUUAGAUACCCCAGUAGUCCUAGCUGUAAACGAUGGAUACUAGGCGUUGCAGGUAUCGACCCCUGCAGUGCCGCAGUUAACGCGAUAAGUAUCCCGCCUGAGUAGUACGGCCGCAAGGUUGAAACUCAAAGGAAUUGACGG
Molecule: ribosomal RNA, 578 nt
Filed under: uncultured bacterium
Lineage: Bacteria
Description: bacterial SSU rRNA
Rfam family: Bacterial small subunit ribosomal RNA
Source: RNAcentral